Molecule: ribosomal RNA, 408 nt
Filed under: uncultured bacterium
Lineage: Bacteria
Description: partial 16S ribosomal RNA
Rfam family: Bacterial small subunit ribosomal RNA
Source: RNAcentral
GACGAACGCUGGCGGCGUGCUUAACACAUGCAAGUCGAACGAAGUGGUGAACGGGUGAGUAAUACGUGGGUAAACUGCCCUCCUUUUGGGGAUAAGCCUUGGAAACGGGGUCUAAUACCGAAUAAAGGGGGAUGGGCUCUCGGCCUAUCAGGUUGGUGGUGGGGUGAUGGCCUACCACGGCGGUGACGGGUAGCCGGCCUGAGAGGGUGACCUGCCACAUGGACACGGCGAAACGGCCUAGACGCGGACGGGGGGGAGAAUUGGGGGAUAUUGGACAAUGGGCGAAAGCGUGAUGCAGCGAGGCCGCGGGGGGGAUGAGGGCUGUCGGGUUGUAAACCUCUUUCGCUAGCGAACGGGUAGGUGGAGAAGAAGCGCCGGCUAACUACGUGCCAGCCGCCGCGGUAAUUC